This 584-nucleotide ribosomal RNA is filed under the name Vreelandella zhanjiangensis. Its description in RNAcentral is "bacterial SSU rRNA". It matches the Rfam family "Bacterial small subunit ribosomal RNA", at positions 52 to 633 of the family's 1533-position model. The record is from RNAcentral. Lineage: Bacteria; Pseudomonadati; Pseudomonadota; Gammaproteobacteria; Oceanospirillales; Halomonadaceae.
CACAUGCAAGUCGAGCGGUAACAGGGGUAGCUUGCUACCCGCUGACGAGCGGCGGACGGGUGAGUAAUGCAUAGGAAUCUGCCCGAUAGUGGGGGAUAACCUGGGGAAACCCAGGCUAAUACCGCAUACGUCCUACGGGAGAAAGGGGGCUUCGGCUCGCGCUAUCGGAUGAGCCUAUGUCGGAUUAGCUAGUUGGUGGGGUAAUGGCCCACCAAGGCGACGAUCCGUAGCUGGUCUGAGAGGAUGAUCAGCCACAUCGGGACUGAGACACGGCCCGAACUCCUACGGGAGGCAGCAGUGGGGAAUAUUGGACAAUGGGGGCAACCCUGAUCCAGCCAUGCCGCGUGUGUGAAGAAGGCCUUCGGGUUGUAAAGCACUUUCAGCGAGGAAGAACGCCAGGGRAUUAAUACCYCCCUGGAAAGACAUCACUCGCAGAAGAAGCACCGGCUAACUCCGUGCCAGCAGCCGCGGUAAUACGGAGGGUGCAAGCGUUAAUCGGAAUUACUGGGCGUAAAGCGCGCGUAGGUGGCUUGAUAAGCCGGUUGUGAAAGCCCCGGGCUCAACCUGGGAACGGCAUCCGGAAC